Long non-coding RNA from Suricata suricatta (meerkat), 592 nucleotides. RefSeq lists it as uncharacterized. Lineage: Eukaryota; Metazoa; Chordata; Mammalia; Carnivora; Herpestidae. The transcript is spliced from 2 exons. The record is from RefSeq and is a predicted model, not a curated record.
AAAGUGGCAGGUGGGCCCUUGGGCAGACUUUUGUUCCUCUCAGAGUGCCUGCCCUUGCUGCCACCUCCCUGACUGUGACAAGACCCUGGCAGGUGACAGAAAAGGGCAGUGUUGCUGAUGUGUGUGCCACCUCCAGCGUUAGAGGCACACCCUGCGUCCCAUAUGCAACAUGUGGUUGGGGCAGGAAUACCACCGGCCUGGACUCAGCCUCAGCUCUGCUUUUUACUAGUUGCUCUCUUUUGAAGAUUCCCUCUGCCUCCUAAUUAGCAAUGGACAGUGAUGUAUCAGAGCAAGAUGGAUGGAGAUAAACCCCCAUGGGGCCUCCGGGUGCUCAGUGUCAGGGAAAUGCCAGACUUUCCUUGGCCAAGUGAAAAACCCAGGGGCUGGGAAGAAGCCGGGGUGAAGACAAAGUAGGGACAGAGGCCACUAGUAGAUCCUCAGACGUGGUCAUCGUGGGAGGAAUGGCUGUAUGGUGUGUGAUAUGACCCUGGGGGCACCUACAGACACACACACACACACACACACGACCCAUCCAAUUGUAAGUUACACUGAGUUAAUAAAAUACCUGGGUAAUGUGACUAGGAAAAAGCAA